GGCAGUUCCUGGGUGACACAUCCUGGAAUCUGGCUCCCUCCUCUCUGGUUCUGGGUGUGUCACCCAAGAACCACA
Non-coding RNA from Myotis lucifugus (little brown bat), 75 nucleotides. Lineage: Eukaryota; Metazoa; Chordata; Mammalia; Chiroptera; Vespertilionidae. The record is from Rfam.